GCCCUCUUAGUUAAAUGGAUAUAACACGACGCUACGAACGUCGAAUCAGUGGUUCGAUUCCGCUAGAGGGUGCCA
RNAcentral lists this transfer RNA (75 nucleotides) under Bacteroidales bacterium. Its description in RNAcentral is "tRNA-Arg". It matches the Rfam family "tRNA". From Rfam's summary of the family: Transfer RNA (tRNA) molecules are approximately 80 nucleotides in length. Their secondary structure includes four short double-helical elements and three loops (D, anti-codon, and T loops). The record is from RNAcentral. Lineage: Bacteria; Pseudomonadati; Bacteroidota; Bacteroidia; Bacteroidales.